This 254-nucleotide long non-coding RNA is filed under the name Elaeis guineensis (African oil palm). Its description in RNAcentral is "long non-coding RNA (EGUI_LNC016075)". The record is from RNAcentral. Lineage: Eukaryota; Viridiplantae; Streptophyta; Magnoliopsida; Arecales; Arecaceae.
GAGGGUUUCGAGUGGCUCGGACCGGGCGGCACUCUCGAGGGGGAUGUUGCCGGAGCGGUAGCUGUGGAGGUUGAAGGAGCGGAGGCGGUCGAGGACGAGGGACGGAGAGCGGAAGAGCUUGCGGGGGUCGCCAGCACCGUCGGCGUCGCGGUGGAUCACUUUGGACGUGACGGCGAUGGUUCCGAUGACGAGGUUGAGAAGCACGAAAAGGACGGUGGGGGUGAGCCAGCCGUGGACCAACGCCCAGAUCGACG